RNAcentral lists this ribosomal RNA (425 nucleotides) under uncultured bacterium. Its description in RNAcentral is "partial 16S ribosomal RNA". It matches the Rfam family "Bacterial small subunit ribosomal RNA", at positions 359 to 776 of the family's 1533-position model. The record is from RNAcentral.
GAAUUUUGGACAAUGGGCGAAAGCCUGAUCCAGCAAUGCCGCGUGCAGGAUGAAGGCCUUCGGGUUGUAAACUGCUUUUGUACGGAACGAGAAGCUUUGGGUUAAUACCCUGGAGUCAUUACGGUACCGUAAGAAUAAGCACCGGCUAACUACGUGCCAGCAGCCGCGGUUACACGGAGGGUGCAAGCGUUAAACCGGAAUCAUGGGGGGAAAGCGUGCGGAGGCGGUUUUGUAAGGAAGAGGUGAAAACCCCGGGCUCAACCCGGGAACCGCCUUUGGGACUGGAAGGCUAGAGUACGGCAGAGGGGGGUGGAAUUCCGCGUGUAGCAGUGAAAUGCGUAGAUAUGCGGAGGAACACCGAUGGCGAAGGCAACCCCCUGGGCCUGUACUGACGCUCAUGCACGAAAGCGUGGGGAGCAAACAGG